GUGUAGAGUGAUGUGUACUGGAGUGACAGGCAUACGGGAGCGAUCUGCCGUGCUGAUAAACACAACGGAAAACAGCUUAAAUGUUCUGUAGUGAGUUCCCCGGCAGGAUUGCUCAUCUACCACCCGCUCCUGCAGCCGACAGCACAAUUUAAGGAGCACCGAAUCCCUGGGCUCUUCAAAUCACACACCUGUCUGGACUCCUCUCUGGAGAGCAGAGAUUAUGGUCUACUCAAAGUCAUACUGCCCCCUGCUGCUCAUCUAAAUGUACUGAAAAUGCCAUCUAAGCAGAAAAUUCCACCAUGGCUCCCUGUCUUUCAUAAAUGG
Long non-coding RNA from Ictalurus punctatus (channel catfish), 324 nucleotides. RefSeq lists it as uncharacterized. The record is from RefSeq and is a predicted model, not a curated record. The transcript has 2 exons. NCBI's taxonomy places the organism in Eukaryota, Metazoa, Chordata, Actinopteri, Siluriformes, Ictaluridae.